Molecule: transfer RNA, 52 nt
Filed under: Teladorsagia circumcincta
Lineage: Eukaryota; Metazoa; Nematoda; Chromadorea; Rhabditida; Trichostrongylidae
Description: tRNA-Ala
Source: RNAcentral
CCCCAGCCCUCUCCCAUGCUAAGGGAGCGCUCUACCACUGAGCUAUACCCCC